CCUACGGGAGGCAGCAGUAGGGAAUUUUCGGCAAUGGGCGAAAGCCUGACCGAGCAACGCCGCGUGAAGGAAGAAGUCAUUCGUGAUGUAAACUUCUGUUAUGAAGGAAGAACGGCAGAUGGAGGGAAUGCCAUGUGCGUGACGGUACUUCAUGAGGAAGCCACGGCUAACUACGUGCCAGCAGCCGCGGUAAUACGUAGGUGGCGAGCGUUAUCCGGAAUCAUUGGGCGUAAAGAGGGAGCAGGCGGCAGUGCAGGUCUGCGGUGAAAGACCGGAGCUAAACUUCGGUAAGCCGUGGAAACCGCACAGCUAGAGAGCAUCAGAGGAUCGCGGAAUUCCAUGUGUAGCGGUGAAAUGCGUAGAUAUAUGGAGGAACACCAGUGGCGAAGGCGGCGGUCUGGGGUGCAGCUGACGCUCAGUCCCG
RNAcentral lists this ribosomal RNA (424 nucleotides) under uncultured Bacteroides sp. Its description in RNAcentral is "bacterial SSU rRNA". It matches the Rfam family "Bacterial small subunit ribosomal RNA", at positions 338 to 755 of the family's 1533-position model. The record is from RNAcentral. Lineage: Bacteria; Pseudomonadati; Bacteroidota; Bacteroidia; Bacteroidales; Bacteroidaceae.